AACCCAAAGCGUCGAGUUCGGUGGUUGUAGAAUUCGAAUCGACACGGACACAAGAAAGGGUGGAGAGCUCGUCUCCCUCUUUGCCUGUCGGCGUCAGCAUGCGGCGACGACGAAGAAGCAGGCGACGCCAUGCCCCACCACUCACCUCUUUGCAGUGCUGCUUGCUGCUGCUCCAGGGCUUUCACCUGGCCGUUAAGUCCCACAUCGCCAAUUUAACUGUAGAAAAGAGGCGACUUAAGCAAUUGCCCUUGCCUGCAGGUUGUCUCUUCGGAGACAUCCGAUAAAAUUGGAACGAUACAGAGAAGAUUAGCAUGGCCCCUGCGCAAGGAUGACACGCAUAAAUCGAGAAAUGAUGUGCCAAAAGGAAUCUGUUGUUUGCUUCCCUUUGCCCAAUGGUUUCAUGAUGGCUAACUCUGGAGUACUGAAAAAUCCAACAUGCGUAGAGGAAAAACCAGACAUUUUCCAAGGUGUGCUUAAUGGCUGACCUCACAACAAUGGCAAAUUUUGAAGCUGAUGUUAACCUUCUACAUUUUAAUCUAAAUUUCUUGGCCUGUAGACAAAAUUUAGGGCUUCCAAAUAGGGAGAAAUAUCUCAGGCAAUAUGAAUUGUAAGGUCAAUUUUUUGUUGUUUGGAAACAUCCUUGGGCAUUCUUGAUAAGUGCGCAUGCUUUGUUUUGUUUUGUUUUAGUGGCUUAUAUUUAUGUACAAAUACAGAAGGGGAGCCUGACCUAGAGAUCACAGGUUCAAAUCUCGGAAACAACCUUUUGCAAAGUAAGGUUGCAUACAAUAGAUUCUUCCCCGGUUGGCGAGAGUUUCGUGCACCAGACUGCUCUUUAUAUUUAUGUACAGAUACCAACUUUAAUAGAACCAUCAAAUCAACGUUAAAGAAGACUUACAACAGUUGAUGGAUCAGAUUUGAGUCAAGAAGUUUUACAGUUUUUAGAAGUGGGCAUGACACUACAGUUGCAAGACUCAAAUGAAAAUCAUGUCUUCAAAUAUCACCAAUCCACUGUAUACCGGCACAAUCAAAUAACUAAUUUGACUGAGGAUGCAGAAAGAACUAUUAUAUACAGUAGAACUUUCCAAAAUUCUCCACUUGCUCCACAAUACUUUCUGCCUCCUCUGUCAACCCCGAGCAGAUGAUCUACUUCUUGCAGACAAAAAUUUGCAAGGGCAUAGCACUCCAGUAUAGGCAUUGUAAUGAGAAAAGAAGUCUCCGGUGUUAUUGUCCUCAUGCAGAUGCAUUUAUACACCAAAUCAGUGAAGCUUUUCCCAGUGGCUUGGAUAUCUUAAAUAACUUAAAUGGCUUUCCAUGCAUUCUGCAGUUAUUUUGGGAUGCAUCAAGGGGAAUUCUGUAUAUGAUUUCAAUGCUCAAUAGCAAUUAACUUAUCCGUCAAAAUAGAAUUGUGUUUCAGUAUAGCUCUAACAAAGGCCUUUUAAGGUGUAUCCUGUGUUAUCUUUGAUAAUGUUGCGGCAUCGAUCAUAAGUAUCAGUUAAUGAGUCUCUGUUAAGAGCAUAUGGGGACUUGCUUGUGGGCAAAGAAUCCAUCUGUUGCUGGGGAUUGAAAUUUCAUCUAGUGAAGUCACAACAUAUUUGGAGACAGAUUCCUUAUUAUGGUUUAUCUAUCUCAUCUUGCUAUUGACAAAUUAUUAACCUAAAUGGAAUAGAGGUUUGUGUCAGGCUCCUUAAGCUUGCUGAAUCUAUCUUCUUUGGUUUUGUUCCCUCUAGAUAUGCAAAAUAGUACUAUAAGACAAAAUAGUACUAUCUCCUUAACCCUUUUUUGGGAUACUUAUUGGAUAGCCUUUGCUUUCACUAUGGUUGCAAUACUAGUUGUUAUCGUGCUGUUUGAGCUUCUGAUCGUGUUUUUAUCUGAUGAUGCCUUCACAAGAAAGGCAACUAAGGGUUGAAUUACUGGGAUAGAAGAUAAGAGGGAGAGGAAGGAAAGUGAUAAAAUGAUUUUUGCUCUUCUUAUAUGUCUAUGCAAGUAAUUGGACCGUAAAGUAGAAAGGAAGAACAAUGAAACGAUAGAUUCCUGAUAAGUUCCUGUUGUUCGAUGUGUGUCUUCAUAUCCGAAUUGGAGUGGAGUUGUUGAUUCAGUUGUGUGACUCAGCCAAUUUAAAUGAAUGCACCUUGAAUCAGGAGGCAGGUCGAGGUCACGUUUUGCUUCAGAGGAACUAGUUGAACUGUAUUAACUUCAAUUUGAUUUUGAUUGUGAAUGGAAGCUUUUAUUUUUUAAACAAGGAGUAAUAAUCAAAGUUGACGU
This is an RNA transcript of Zingiber officinale, 2262 nucleotides long. RefSeq lists it as uncharacterized. The record is from RefSeq and is a predicted model, not a curated record. Lineage: Eukaryota; Viridiplantae; Streptophyta; Magnoliopsida; Zingiberales; Zingiberaceae. The transcript is spliced from 5 exons.